Molecule: transfer RNA, 74 nt
Filed under: Pseudomonadales bacterium
Lineage: Bacteria; Pseudomonadati; Pseudomonadota; Gammaproteobacteria; Pseudomonadales
Also listed under: 1 other name
Description: tRNA-Val
Rfam family: tRNA
About the family: Transfer RNA (tRNA) molecules are approximately 80 nucleotides in length. Their secondary structure includes four short double-helical elements and three loops (D, anti-codon, and T loops).
Source: RNAcentral
GAUCACUUAGCUCAGUUGGCUAGAGCGCUUCGUUGACAUCGAAGAGGUCACUGGUUCGAGUCCAGUAGUGAUCA